CCUACGGGUGGCUGCAGUGAGGAAUAUUGGUCAAUGGGCGCAAGCCUGAACCAGCCAUGCCGCGUGCAGGAUGACGGCCCUAUGGGUUGUAAACUGCUUUUGUACGGGAAGAAACAGAGGUUCGUGAACCUCCUUGACGGUACCGUAAGAAUAAGGAUCGGCUAACUCCGUGCCAGCAGCCGCGGUAAUACGGAGGAUCCAAGCGUUAUCCGGAAUCAUUGGGUUUAAAGGGUCCGUAGGCGGGCCUGUAAGUCAGUGGUGAAAUCUCCCGGCUC
RNAcentral lists this ribosomal RNA (275 nucleotides) under uncultured bacterium. RNAcentral's name for it is "partial 16S ribosomal RNA". It matches the Rfam family "Bacterial small subunit ribosomal RNA", at positions 338 to 610 of the family's 1533-position model. The record is from RNAcentral.